This 253-nucleotide ribosomal RNA is filed under the name uncultured bacterium. RNAcentral's name for it is "partial 16S ribosomal RNA". It matches the Rfam family "Bacterial small subunit ribosomal RNA", at positions 524 to 776 of the family's 1533-position model. The record is from RNAcentral.
UACAGAGGUGCCGAGCGUUAGGCGGAAUCACUGGGCUUAAAGCGUGUGUAGGCGGAUCGUUAAGUGUCUUGUGAAAUCCCCCGGCUCAACCGGGGAACUGCUGGGCAUACUGGCGAUCUUGAGCGGCCUAGGGGCAGAUGGAACAAGUGGUGGAGCGGUGAAAUGCGUAGAUAUCACUUGGAACGCCAAAGGUGAAAACAGUCUGCUGGGGGCCUGCUGACGCUGAGACACGAAAGCCAGGGGAACGAACGGG